Molecule: small RNA, 48 nt
Filed under: Caenorhabditis elegans
Lineage: Eukaryota; Metazoa; Nematoda; Chromadorea; Rhabditida; Rhabditidae
Description: Unclassified non-coding RNA Y69H2.28
Source: RNAcentral
UGAGGGUGCGUUGCGGUUGCGUCGCGGGUGCGUUGCGGUUGCGUCGCG